CAGUAGCCGCGGUAAUACGUAGGUGGCAAGCGUUGUCCGGAAUUAUUGGGCGUAAAGGGCUCGCAGGCGGUUUCUUAAGUCUGAUGUGAAAGCCCCCGGCUCAGCCGGGGAGGGUCAUUGGAAACUGGGAAACUUGAGUGCAGAAGAGGAGAGUGGAAUUCCACGUGUAGCGGUGAAAUGCGUAGAGAUGUGGAGGAACACCAGUGGCGAAGGCGACUCUCUGGUCUGUAACUGACGCUGAGGAGCGAAAGCGUGGGGAGCGAACAGGAUUAGAUACCCGUGUAGUCCCUGUCUCUUAUAU
Molecule: ribosomal RNA, 301 nt
Filed under: uncultured bacterium
Lineage: Bacteria
Description: partial 16S ribosomal RNA
Rfam family: Bacterial small subunit ribosomal RNA
Source: RNAcentral